GUGUCAGCAGCCGCGGUAAUACGUAGGGUGCGAGCGUUAAUCGGAAUUACUGGGCGUAAAGCGUGCGCAGGCGGUUUUUUAAGCCAGACGUGAAAGCCCCGGGCUUAACCUGGGAAUGGCGUUUGGGACUGGAAGGCUGGAGUACGGCAGAGGGAGGUGGAAUUCCACGUGUAGCAGUGAAAUGCGUAGAGAUGUGGAGGAACACCGAUGGCGAAGGCAGCCUCCUGGGCCAGUACUGACGCUCAUGCACGAAAGCGUGGGGAGCAAACAGGAUUAGAUACCCUGGUAGUCCACGCCCUAAACGAUGCGAACUAGUCGUUGGGGGAGCAAUCCCUUAGUGACGCAGCUAACGCGUGAAGUUCGCCGCCUGGGGAGUACGGUCGCAAGAUUAAA
RNAcentral lists this ribosomal RNA (393 nucleotides) under uncultured bacterium. Its description in RNAcentral is "bacterial SSU rRNA". It matches the Rfam family "Bacterial small subunit ribosomal RNA", at positions 505 to 898 of the family's 1533-position model. The record is from RNAcentral.